RNAcentral lists this transfer RNA (92 nucleotides) under Coxiella endosymbiont of Amblyomma sculptum. Its description in RNAcentral is "tRNA-Ser". It matches the Rfam family "tRNA". Rfam says of the family: Transfer RNA (tRNA) molecules are approximately 80 nucleotides in length. Their secondary structure includes four short double-helical elements and three loops (D, anti-codon, and T loops). The record is from RNAcentral. Lineage: Bacteria; Pseudomonadati; Pseudomonadota; Gammaproteobacteria; Legionellales; Coxiellaceae.
GGAGAGGUACCGAAGUGGAUAUACCGGCGCCGACUCGAAAUCGGAUGAGACCUUUAACUCGGUCUACGCGGGUUCGAAUCCCGCCCUCUCCG